AUGGGGAUGGACGUGUGCAUGUUAGGUCAUAGUGCUCAAGUGGAGUCAUGCAUGUUGAGACUCGGAUCGUGGGAUGGCACGAUCAAAUCGAGCUGCGCUAGGUGGGUUUGUUAUGCAUGUAACGAGCUAGCUCGCGAGGCGUUUGGCAGCGGUGAGAUGGGGGACACGUCGCCCACGAAGAACAACGAUGCUGACAAGGGCGACGGCAGCGGCGGCAGAAAGUACACGUCGCCGAGCAAGAGGCUCGGAGCCGGUGUCUCUGAUGAGGGCGCCGUCAUGGUGAGGACCAUGUCGAGGGCAUCCGUCCCUGUUCAGUACCCGCAGCUGACAGAGACGAACUAUCAUCUUUGGACAGCGAAGAUGAAGAUCAUCAUGCGCCCCCUCGGUGUGUGGCCGGCGGUUGAUGGAGACGCCGAGUUCGACGAAGAGAAAGACCAAGGCGCCAUGAUGGCGAUCUCGCAAGCUGUGCCGGAUGAUGUGAUGAUGGCCAUCGUCGAGUACGACACGGCGAGGGAGGCUUGGUCUGCGAUCCGCACAAUGCGGGUUGGCGAGGCGCGUGUUACGGAGCCACGCAUAAACCAGCCGAUGCGGCGGUUCGAUUGCAUGCUCAUGGAGGACAGCGAGACGAUCGCCACGUUCUCUCGCCGGCUGACAUCACUUGUCGGCGAGAUCCGGGCGCUUGGUGAAGACUUGAAGGAGAAGGCGAUUGUCAAGCGGCUGUUCGCCGUUGUUCCAGAUUGCUUCUCCCAGAUAAUUGGGACCAUCGAGCAGUGGGGCGACAUGAAGACCAUGUCCAUGGCUGAAGCCGUGGGCCGCCUGCGCGCACUGAUCCUGAAAGAGAAGAAGAAGGGAGAGGGCUCUAGCAGCAGCAAGCAGGACGGCGACGGGAAUGGCGCUGGCCGUGGCCAAGAUGACGGCAAGAAGAAGGAGCGUUGCCAGUUCGACAAGUCGAAGAUUACCUGUUUCGAGUGCGGGGAGAAAGGCCACUUCAAGUCCGAGUGCGAGGUGCUGAAGAAAGAGAAGGCACUCCUACCUGCUGCCGAUUUUGACGAUGAGCCGGGGCUGCUGAUGGAUGUGGCAUGUGAGCUCCCGCCAAUGGUGGAGCGCGCCGCAGAAGAUAUGGAGGUGAAGGAGGUGCUUCGCCCCUUGGCCGUCGAGGCUGACUUGGAAGCUGCAAAGGCGGAGGUUGAGCAGCUGCGCAGCGAGCUAGCUGCGGCCAAUGGAAAGCUGUGCCCCGUGUUUGACGAGUACAGGACAGAGGCGGAGGAGAGAUCAGCUGCAAGUGGUGACGUGCUCCUGCUUGAGAAUAUGCGUGUGUUAGAGGAAGCUGCCAAGCUAGCACAUGAGGACAAUGCAAAGCUGCUGGAGGUGCAGUGUGUGCUCCUGAAGAGAACAGCAGAUUGCGUGAUCUCAUGA
This 1416-nucleotide ribosomal RNA is filed under the name Triticum aestivum (bread wheat). Its description in RNAcentral is "partial small subunit ribosomal RNA". The record is from RNAcentral. Lineage: Eukaryota; Viridiplantae; Streptophyta; Magnoliopsida; Poales; Poaceae.